GACACAAGACUGGAAUGCUCGCCUAUUCAUCCAGGAUUGGAUUCUUGAAUCUCAACAAGGCUUCAAGCAAUCAAAUGUAGCAGACCAAUGCACACACAUGUACAAGAUCUAUAUUGAGGGUUAUGCAUGGUCUGUGAGCAAGAAGUACAUUCUAGCAUGUGAUUCAGUAACAUUGCUGGUAAAACCGAAGUACUAUGAUUUCUUCACAAGAGGUUUGCAACCAGUG
Molecule: non-coding RNA, 226 nt
Organism: Malus domestica (apple)
Lineage: Eukaryota; Viridiplantae; Streptophyta; Magnoliopsida; Rosales; Rosaceae
Source: RefSeq, a predicted model, not a curated record